GAUUAAAGGUAAAUCAAUAUUAAAAAGAACUGUGAUUGACUUGAUAAUUUCACACUAAUUGCUGUUCUUUACAGGAAAUAUUGAUGCUGAAUCCCCAAAACAUCAUAGCCCCAACUGUGCGACAAUUUUCUGCUUUCUUAUCGACCCAGCAGUCGAGCCGCCGUCGUCGGCGGAAUCGGCAACAAAGAUCAGUGCAAGUGUUGUUAAUCAAUCAGCAAGUGUGAUUAACGUGAAAUAAAGUUUUUCCUGCAUAAAAACGGUAAUUUUUUUGAUUUUGCGAAACCACUCCUUGUCCAAUAAGAUUUGUGAGAUGUGCUAAAUAAUGUAAAUGUACAGUAAACAACAGCAAUGAAUGCUACCGGGAAUUUACAUGAAACGUGCAGUAUUAUCACUUGUAAAUAUAGCCGAUUCCUUUCUACCCAUGCAGUUGCAUGUAAAUCUACGUGGAUUUUUCUAAGUGUGUGAGCAAAAAGGUACAUUCUACCGGUUUCCCAUUCACUAUCUAAAAGGUUUUUUUCCACUGUUCUGGUUAUACACUACAUUAAAUGAAACUAAGACACAAAUUCAUUCAAGAUUUUAUUUUUGUUUUUCAUUACAUUCACAUUCAUUAAUGUUUUGGGAAUCUAUGUUUUAAUAAUGUUCCUCUCCGUUUUUUUCCUCGAAUGUUCCGUUUUGUCGGAGGAAAACACUAUUGCAUCCUCUCGGUCAUCAACGCUGUCUUUUCCGUGUCCACCAUGGCCGUUGAAUCCUCCUACAAUUAGCACAUUUCGUCCCUUCUCCGUUCGACUCAUCCGGCUAUAGCUGGGGGAUAAUAUUGGCUGUUCCGAAAUUAUGGAAAACACUUCGUAGCUCAGUAGGCCAAUCUGUAAGGGCAUCCGCAGCAAUCGCGAGCAAAGUGAAAAUGCUCACGAGUUUAAUCACUUCCAUACCGCACCGGGGGUUAGUAUGAAGGUGAGCAAAAUAGGGCCGAUGCCGUCGGGACCGAUAAAAUCACCAAAUUUGCUCACUAGAAAGGGGCGAGAGCAAACAUGCACUGAAAAAAUUCUACCGCUUUGAGCAGAAUUAAACAAACGAUGUCGCAGCGUGUAGAUGUUUGUUGAUAUUUAUUUUAAGAAAAAAAUUGUAUCAGCUUAAAAUUGUGGAUGGUUUUUCUUGUAAUAACUGCAGUUAAAUUCGCAAUUUCGUUACAUUUUUUCGGGGUUUUCCAGGAAUUGAACGAGAAAGUGUAAAUGCUGGUUCUGAUGAUAAACAAACUUGAAGCAUCGUAAUUUGUGACCAAAAAUGGUCACUCGGAGUUUCUCGGAGUAAUAAUAAUCGAGACCAGUGCGCUGUGCAGGAUUUUUGUAUCCAACCGGCCGAUAUGGGUGGCAUUCCAGUACUGUCCCUACCGAUUCGGCUUCCGGAACGAGGUCCAAUAAGUUUGCAACUAAUGGGACCCAGUUUUUCGGAGCAGCAAUUAUUUCAAUCAGCACGUUGGAUAGAAAAAGAAGUUGAAGAUUUUUUAGAAAAGUAUGAUUUUAAUAUAAAUAUAAUAAACAAAUAAAGUUGAAUUUUAGUUGAAUUGUUUGGUUUGUUAAAUUUUGUUUUUCGGGUCCAUUUGUUAGGAAAUAUAAGUGCCCGGCGUUUUGAAAGCAAAAUCGAGCUUAAUUCGAAAAUAUAUUCUUAUCUGAACUUAUUUUA
Long non-coding RNA from Uranotaenia lowii, 1680 nucleotides. RefSeq lists it as uncharacterized. The record is from RefSeq and is a predicted model, not a curated record. The transcript has 2 exons. NCBI's taxonomy places the organism in Eukaryota, Metazoa, Arthropoda, Insecta, Diptera, Culicidae.